AGUGAACGCUGGCGGUAGGCCUAACACAUGCAAGUCGAACGGCAGCACAGUAAGAGCUUGCUCUUACGGGUGGCGAGUGGCGGACGGGUGAGGAAUACAUCGGAAUCUACUUUUUCGUGGGGGAUAACGUAGGGAAACUUACGCUAAUACCGCAUACGACCUACGGGUGAAAGCAGGGGAUCUUCGGACCUUGCGCGAUUGAAUGAGCCGAUGUCGGAUUAGCUAGUUGGCGGGGUAAAGGCCCACCAAGGCGACGAUCCGUAGCUGGUCUGAGAGGAUGAUCAGCGACACAGGAACUGAGACAAGGUCCAGACUCCUAGGGGGUGCAGCAGUGGGGAAUAUUGGAAAAUGGGCGCAAGCCUGAUCCAGCCAUACCGCGUGGGUGAAGAAGGCCUUCGGGUUGUAAAGCCCUUUUGUUGGGAAAGAAAAGCAGCAGGUUAAUACCCCGCUGUUCUGACGGUACCCAAAGAAUAAGCACCGGCUAACUUCGUG
RNAcentral lists this ribosomal RNA (492 nucleotides) under uncultured bacterium. Its description in RNAcentral is "partial 16S ribosomal RNA". It matches the Rfam family "Bacterial small subunit ribosomal RNA", at positions 29 to 507 of the family's 1533-position model. The record is from RNAcentral.